This is a long non-coding RNA of Erpetoichthys calabaricus (reedfish), 476 nucleotides long. RefSeq lists it as uncharacterized. The record is from RefSeq and is a predicted model, not a curated record. Lineage: Eukaryota; Metazoa; Chordata; Cladistia; Polypteriformes; Polypteridae. The transcript is spliced from 2 exons.
UAUAUAUACUGAGUAUACUUUAUUCAUAAAAUAUAUGUUGUCGUACCUUGCAUAACUGAAUAACCUUUAUGGCACAAUAACAAUUCAAUACAUUUAUGGUCACUACAGUAUUUGGAUUUUAUAAUCUUCAUGUGGGAAAAGGCUGACUCGCAUAAAUAAGUAGAGCCAAAUAAUGCAGUCAAGGAGGUAGCACGUUUCCUCAUGUCUUCUGCUUAAUGAUCGAGUGACUCACCCGGAACGAUGCUUCGGUGUGUCUGCCUUUGCUUUUGAAUUCAGCUGAGUGAUAAAUGACGGCUGUCUGAAUAACUGCGAUUUUAGUUCCCUCUCCUUUCUCUUUCUCAGAUCGCUUUUCGGAAGGAAGUCAGUCAGUUUCGUAGUUUUUAUGAACAGUUUGAAAGUGCCUUUCCACAUUUUCUUUCUUUGGAAUAGCAAUGAUAGAUUGACAGAUCAGACAAAUGCACUUCGAUUGUGACAUA